CACCGAUUCACGACUCACUGCUUUUGGCGAGGCGGCGUCAGAUGACUGACUCUCCGGCUUUGUGCACAGUGGAAGGGAAGCUCUCUCUCAGGAGGAACAGGAAUUUACGGGGCUCUCAUUUUGCUUGGAUUUGCGUCAGUAAAAGCUGAUUGCCCAGUACCACAGAGGAGUGCAAUCGAAUGAAGGGAAUUCCGAGGAGAAGAAAGGUCUGAUUGGUGCCUGCAGAACACAUCUGACACGGAGGGCCCCACCUGCCCCAUCCUCGGGCAGCAGGCCAUCUUCAAUCAAUCACUCAACUCAUAGAGAACAUGACAUCACUCAGGCUCACACUACCAUUGAGGACCUCUUGAGUUCCCCUGCUGCUGUCCCCAAUGCCCUCUCUUCUCUUCCUCCCCCUCCUUCUCUGUGACUCUCUUCGGUGACGGGUAUUCUUGGGUGGAUAAUACGGAUCACGUUGUUAUUGCUUAAGAAUACGCGUAGUUGAGGAGAGUCCUCUCGACACUGACUUGGAGGAGCUAAAGGAGCUAACGUCCUGCUGCAUGAGCCAAAGUAGAGCCAGGAUGACUGCCUGGUUUCCAUAUCCAGGACCAUUUAUCAAGCAACUAGACAGAUUAACAAAGCCUAAUUACUUUACUGGGCUUUCAGCUAUGCUUUCCAGCCCCUAUAGACACUAGCAGCAAAGAGAGAAAGUGAGAGAGAGAGAGAGAGAGAGAGAGAGAGAUAUUAAACUCUUACAGUUACCUCUCCCAGGAUGUUUUUUCGCAGUAGGCUAUAUCGUAUUAUUGUGUACUGUAAUAUGAUUUGAUUAACCAUUCUGACGAAUGUUGUGUCUUCUGUGUAUCGACUCCACCAGUGUUUAUUUAUUAUUUAGCAUUUUGUACAAUUUGUUCAUUUUGGCUUCCGGAUGAAACAGGCUAUUAUGUUCGUUUUCACUUCAGGGAGUUGUGUCUUGUACUACAGGCUUGCUUGGUGCAGUAAUGGACAUUUGUAUUGGUCUUAAAAAUACAAAAGGCCUCCUACGCAACAUUUAGCUUGCAUACAAAUAGAUUUUGUGGUAACACGCUUUCUGGCCUCAGGACUACUGCCCAGAGAUGGCCAUAUUGCCUGCGGAUACCUCAUUGAGAGUGAAAGAGUAGACUGGGAGAAUAUGUUAGGAGAAUGAAAAACUAUGAAGGAGUAACUGAAUUUGAACCCAAAAUAUGUAUAUUAUACCUCAGUCCUGUGUAUCAAUACUAAAGGGAAUUCCGUGACAGAGAGCUGGUUGUUAGUGAUCACAGAGGAAAUAUCAAUACUCAGAGAAACUGCACUGGCGCAUUUCAUUUAUUCCACAAUCUUGCGCCAUACAGGCCGUCCCUCUGAAGAUAAAUUCUGCAAGCCCAGUAACAUCAUUCCCUGACUUAAUGUGUUUGCGACAAAGGGACAUUCUCAUCCAAAAUGAUUUGCACAUCAAGAAGAGUCAUUACGUUUUAAUGGUGUCGGGAAAUGACCCUCUCUUAGCUUACGCUGGUGGAAAUCAAUGAGGCCUGCAUUACAGUGUUAUUGUGACGGUCAUUUUCUGCUGAAUCAUGCUGUUUAAUUUCUUGCCCUUCGACAAAUCAUCCGCCGACUCUUAUCAAUUUGGCCAGAGAGCUUACGUUUGAUUGCAUUAGAUGAGAUCAAAUAAAAUAAAUAAAAUAAUUGAAGGUCCUCUAAAAAUGCUACCAUGACAUCUCUUGAUGUCUAAUGUUCCUAUCAAUCUCAAGCUUAUCUAAGACUGAAAGGAGAAGGCAAAUGUCUGCUCUAGCCUCUACUGAAUCUAUUUGUACUGUCAUAAUUGGAUCCUACCAGUAGGGGAGCCCUGUAGCUCACAGUCAGACAAUGAACUCAAUGAACUGUUUUAAAAGGAGAAUGACUUUAUCAGCGCUACCUAUGAUUUUACACUGUUAACAAAGCUGUGUGUUUGGCAUUACAAAUGGGCAUGCUUUUGACAAUCUGUUAAUUCAGUUUAUGACAUUUUGAACAUCAUUUUCUCAUCAGACAUUUUUGUUAAUUGACUGUAUCUAUUUUUAUGGCAUGUUGAAAACCCAGACAAUCUGUAAAAUCGUGUGGUCCGAAAACAAUAUGACAAACAAUAAACAAACAAUUUGAAAUAUGUGACAGCUUAUGUGAUUUUAUCAUGUCAAUCAUGUCCAUCAUUUUUUUUAAAUCUCUGU
RNAcentral lists this long non-coding RNA (2192 nucleotides) under Salmo salar (Atlantic salmon). RNAcentral describes it as "lncRNA (ENSSSAG00000083900.1, ENSSSAG00000104118.1)". The stretch from base 415 to 485 matches the Rfam family "mir-137 microRNA precursor family". Lineage: Eukaryota; Metazoa; Chordata; Actinopteri; Salmoniformes; Salmonidae. The record is from RNAcentral.